GAUGAACGCUGGCGGCGUGCCUAAUACAUGCAAGUCGAGCGAACGGACGAGAAGCUUGCUUCUCUGAUGUUAGCGGCGGACGGGUGGGUAACACGUGGAUAACCUACCUAUAAGACUGGGAUAACUUCGGGAAACCGGAGCUAAUACCGGAUAAUAUUUUGAACCGCAUGGUUCAAAAGUGAAAGACGGUCUUGCUGUCACUUAUAGAUGGAUCCGCGCUGCAUUAGCUAGUUGGUAAGGUAACGGCUUACCAAGGCAACGAUGCAUAGCCGACCUGAGAGGGUGAUCGGCCACACUGGAACUGAGACACGGUCCAGACUCCUACGGGAGGCAGCAGUAGGGAAUCUUCCGCAAUGGGCGAAAGCCUGACGGAGCAACGCCGCGUGAGUGAUGAAGGUCCUCGGAUCGUAAAACUCUGUUAUUAGGGAAGAACAUAUGUGUAAGUAACUGUGCACAUCUUGACGGUACCUAAUCAGAAAGCCACGGCUAACUACGUG
Molecule: ribosomal RNA, 497 nt
Filed under: uncultured bacterium
Lineage: Bacteria
Description: partial 16S ribosomal RNA
Rfam family: Bacterial small subunit ribosomal RNA
Source: RNAcentral